UCAGUCUAGGCGCCCCACAACCAGUUCUCUGCCCUCUUGUGUGAAAAUCAGGAGAGCCAGUUACCAGAGCUACUCAGGAAUCUUUGUAACGGGUGACAUGAAAGGCGAGCACGUCCCAGUACUCAGGGCAAGAGAAGAUGCUUACGCAAUGUCUGGCAGAUGGCGUGUACCUCCCUCGGCGUGACUGUCUUAUGUCUAUUCUUCGUGAUCAUGAAGUUGUAGCAAGAGUUCUGGAACGGCACCCACGGCGUGCUCUGCACAGGAGACGGACACUUAACGCUGUUGAACGGUUUGACCUCCUUUUCCGUCUCAUCUAGGAAGAAGGGUUGGCGGUUGCCUCCUAGUGCACCGUUGGCAGUGUUGAAGGUUGAGAAAAGCAGUAAGGACCACUUGCCUUUUGGAAUCUGGCACACCCAGUCAAGCUGCGCAUCACAAGCAAAAGGCUUCAAAUAAACAAACUUUCUCUGGUCGUCGUAGAAAUACCAGCUUCUUAGCCAAGGACUGUCAAGUACCUAAAGGAGGAAGAAGAUGGCAGAAUAUUCCAAAACUGUUGCAGCUCUUUGCAAACACUUAGGUUAAAAAUCUCUUCAUAUGCGGAGGUCUAUGUACCUUUCAAAUCCAGUUCACUGCAUCACUGUUCUAGACCGUUCUGAAAACCCUGUCAGCUUCUCUGAGGUUUUUAGCUGCUCUGAGUCGUGAAUCCUGUCAAAGGGCCCGAUGCUGUGACGCCGGCCAACCCUGGGAAGAGAUACUCUGAAGACAGCGUUCUUCCCGUCUUUGCUCGCAUCCACCUCACCUUCCUGAGCCUCUUGGAUUACGGAGUGAAGGAGCUACAGCAUCCUCACCCCUGGCUUUCUUUUACUAUCUAUGGUUUCCUCAAAACUGCUUCUGACCCUUUGCUUUCGUAAACAUUCGAUUCCCCCCCCCCCCCCUUUCACUUCUAGUUCCUGGAUUGCGACUUACUGUAGGCUAUGUCUCAUACCUCUAUCAUAUUUAACCGUAACAUAUCACAGCCUGUGAAAGACACUGCUUCUUCUGCCUGUUUCUAGGAAAGGCUCAUAGGAGGCCGAGAAAGCCAUGAGCGAGUGAAGUCCAGAUGGAAUGUGUCCUGUUGACAUGGAACAGACAUGUCAAGGACCCCCCCUCCCCAAACCUUCCCCAGGGGUUAAGAAUGUAGAUGCUAACAGUGCAGAAAUGAGCACCAUAGCUUUCGCCCCUGGAAAUUUGUAGCCUGAGGACUGCUCGCCUACUGAGACGAGCCGAGCCUGUCUCUUUGAUCAGCUGUCUGCAGUAACGCCGCCUUGCAGGUGAACUCUAUAUAAUCAAUAUGGCGAACUCCCGGUGUGGUUUCUCCAGCAGAGACCCCAGUCCUCCUCCUGAUGGCUUUUCUAUGUCAGUGUCUCUGUCUUUUCUUCAUUCCUUCAGCACCCUGGUCAGGUCCAGCCCUGGGAAUGUGCCAGGACGUGCCAAAACAGUGCAGCGGUGAAAUAGCCUGGAACCAGACGUGUGUGAGCUGAAGUGCUACUUCUGACACAUCUACGCUGAGAUUUCUUUCUCAACUUGAUGAUUAUGGUAACAGCACCUACUUCACAGGUUGUGUACAUACGAAGUGAAAUAAUGCCUACCUCAGGGUCCUGGCUCAUAAAGAAUCUGUAUAUUCGAUACCGCCAUCAGAAUGCCACUACCGUGUCACUCCCAUAAUAACCACCUCUUAGCAUAUACCUUCUCUUUUGCAAACUGGCGCCCAAUUGGUAUCCAAUAGUACCAUAGCUUAUUUGUCAAUCUAUUGCUGUGCUCUUCUGAAGACAUAGCCUGUCAUUGAUAGCUUCUAGUGCCUUUAUGUACCUCCCAGAUUCAUCGCUUAUAAAAUGGAUAAACAAACGGAUUCUGUACAAGUUUCCUAAUGUCUUUGUGAUAUUUUCCAGUCUUAACUGCUGUAUCUCGAAAUACAUCUCAAGAUAAAGUUUCUUCACAUUCAUGGCUCACAUUCACAAUCUUGGUUCACGUUGCCCUUUCUCCAUUUUAAAAGCAUCCUGCUGCCUGACCCAAACAAAACAAACAAAAAAACUCAAGAGUACUAUCUUAACUUGACAGCAAUCUAAUUUACCAAUAGUGGUUUUUUAAAUUAAAAAAAAAAAGUGUAAUUAUA
Arvicola amphibius (Eurasian water vole) is the source of this 2149-nucleotide long non-coding RNA. RefSeq lists it as uncharacterized. NCBI's taxonomy places the organism in Eukaryota, Metazoa, Chordata, Mammalia, Rodentia, Cricetidae. The transcript is spliced from 3 exons. The record is from RefSeq and is a predicted model, not a curated record.